This 4859-nucleotide unclassified non-coding RNA is filed under the name Leishmania donovani. Its description in RNAcentral is "gene:LdHU3.33.1740(CDS-product:hypothetical_prote in_conserved)". The record is from RNAcentral. Lineage: Eukaryota; Euglenozoa; Kinetoplastea; Trypanosomatida; Trypanosomatidae.
CCCCCCUCACUUUCCCUCUGUCCUUCUCUCACACACACCCACUCAGGGUCGACAUCACGUGAGACGCUCUUGCACGGCGCACGCUCUCUCCCCCAUUCUCUACUACAGGCACUUUUUGCUGUCGUCGUUGCUUACGUGUUUUGCUCCCCUCCCCUUCCCCCCCCCCAAAUUCCAGGAUGUCUCGUGUGUCGAACAAGAUUAGCGGCGGCAGGGCGUGCCAGACAGUGAUCGAUCACGGCUACUACCUGAAGCCCAUGACGGGCAAUCCGUACCUGUGCACUCAGCACGACGGCGUCACGACGGCCUACCAGCAAGGCUUCGCUCCCAAGGACGCCCACUGGCUGUACCGCUUUCGCUACAAUCUGCUGCCGCAGGGUAUGUCAGGCGGCUUCUUCUCCCGAAACCCGUACGGUCGCUACGUGCACUGGCUGGAGGUAAGCACGAUUGAGAAGAUGCGCCUGCAGAUGCUGACCAUGGAAUCCGUGCCGUGCUCGGUUGUGUCCGUCAUUCUGCUGGUCUUCACCAUGUGGCACUCCUACCGACUUGCCUUCCUGCACCCAGACAUCACCCUCUACAACUUGGGUCUGUGGCCCACCAAGCCGUGGGUACAGCAGCAGCGCUUCAACAAGAAGAAGGAGUUUGAUCAAGAUGUGUACCGCUGGGUGUGCCGCGCGCCGGAAUUCAUGAUAGACGACCCGAUCCGCGACAUGUACAAGAUGGGCAUUGCCGCCAACGACCCAGUCCUCGCCAUGGCCAAGGAGCAGGGAGUGGCAAGCCAGAUGACCAUGGCCCAGGCCGAGUACACAUCGGCGGCGCCGGACAUACGCCGCGUCAUUGCCAACGCCCGCAAGGACGUCGAGCGCAGUACACAGUCGAGCACAGCGACGAGCGCCAUGAUAGGCGUGUAGGCCAUCUAAAGAUUCGUUUUAAAGUAAGCAAACAAGAUGAAGGAGGGGCACAAGAGGGACAACAGAUGGUAGAAAAAGGGGGCGUUACAGUCUUCUGUGAGGCGCGCGCAACCGACAACAACUGCAUGAGGCACACAAACCUUGCACGACAGUGAUGGCAAAUACGAAACGGGUGGGACGGGGGGAUAUGAGCCAAAAAAGAAGACUGGAAAGGAAGGGCAUCAAGAGAAGUGGAAAGUUCACUCGCACCCCUCCCCCACUCCCUCAACCCUCUAAACGGGAGCAGUAGAUCUAGCGCUCGCAAGGCAGUGGUGUGUUUUCGGCUGCCUCCACCGCGCUCUUCUCUCAAUCUCUGUCACGUGUCUCACACCUAGCUUUCCCCGCUCCGAUUCGCCCUUUCACGAGCAACUAAAAGGAGAGCAAGUAACGGUGGACUUGCGGCCCUGCUCCUCAUGCCUGAGCUCAAGCGACCUCGUGUGGUGUUCUCUCUCCGAAUCCCACAGAUUCGUUUUUGUUGUUUUCCGCCUUCUCGUGCGCAACGAGCUUUGCCCUGGGCACACGUUUCUAUUGUUUGUCGUCCUCCUCCCCCCUCACACCUUCACUUCCCUCUUUCUUCCGAUUUAUCCAGUGCAUGGGAAGCUGUCUCUGCGUUUGUGUGUGUGUGUGUGGUGUGUGCGUUCGAGUGCCUGUAGACUUUUUCUUAUCUUGUGUGUUUGUUUGUUCGCCUCUGGAUUUGUGUAUCUCCAAUGCCAUAUUCGGUGGCUCCCUCUCCUCCCUUCUUCUCUCUUUCUCAGUUGUUUCUUCCACUUCAUCCCGGAGGCUCAUGCCAAGGGCGGGGGCGCGCGACGCUAUGAGAAUGUCCCCGUUUUUUUUCUUGUCUUUCUUUUGCUUCUCGUGCCCCUCCCUCUCUUCCCCUCCCUGUGCCCUUGCCGCGUCUACACUGUCGCUGUGGGCUUCCGCAAACGAACGCGGUCGGGGGAGCCUUGAGCGAAGGAGAGAUACUCGGUGCGCACGCGCACCCGCGUAGAGGGGUGCAUAGGCGCUUGUACUCAGACAGACAGGCACUUGUCCUCACGCUUAAAUUUUCGUGUUUUGAGUUGCGUCAAGGUUCUCACUGGCGAGCGCGCAUCGCGAUAUUAGCCCAGAGAAGUGUUGCAUGUGUGUUUCGAGCAGAUGCAGCAGCCCUCGUCCUCUUUCUUUACUUGCCCAAGACGGCGCACUGCCCUUUGCCGACGAUGCCUGCCGCUGUCGUGCCGUUUUGCCGCCGCACGUUUUCUUCGGCAACGUCUUCUUUUUGUUGUUCGUUGAUGUCGCGUUUCCCUAUGUAUUGCCGUCUAUUUCGCAGUGUGUGUGUGUGGUGGUGGUGGCAUGCUGUCCUCAUCGUGAUUUUCCUGAGCGUCCCGACAUCCUUCGUGCGUGCUGCAGGCGAGCUGCACACUUGCCUUCUCCACCCUUCGCGUCCUCCUUCCUCCUCCACAUCGAAGGUCACGGGAGCUCCGCUCCUCGCCGCGUGUCUUCAGAACGUCCCGGAAAGAAACUAGAGCCGAGAGCGCGGGAGAGGCAUUCCUCUUGCAGAUCAACCACAAAAAGGUUUGACAGGUCGGCAAGAGCUCAUCGAUUCCAUCUACGUGUGCGCAGAAUCCUGCAGCCCUCGUCGUCGCCCACCUGAGGACGCCGUAAAUGGUAGCGACCUUUGUGUGCACGUGUUCAGGUUUAUGCACCCUUGAGGCCGUUUCGCUCGCUGUGCACGCGAAGUUGAUAGACGCAUCCAAAAUGCUGGGGAACGAAUGCGCGCAAGGUGGGCACCCAUAGAUUACCUGACGGUGGGCUGUCGACGAACCCGCUUGUGCCCUUUCCCACUUACCGCACGGCACCGCAGCGGCCAGUAAACGUGCGCCCAUACGUUGGCGGGCGUGCGUGAGCGUGAGUGGAGGUGCUGGGGCAGACGCCUUUGGCUGGCUCUGACCGAAAGAAAGCAUAUGCCUUACUGAUAGGGGUGGCCGUCGGCGAGAAAAUCGAGAAGAUGAUGCGCACAAAGUGGAUUAUAGGGAAGCGGCAUUAUUAUACGCUGCGGUUUGAAAGCACACGAUCACCGGCGAAACAUAAAGAGCGGAAGGAAAGGAGACGAUGGGGAAGGACAGACGCGACGGUGGCCGAGGCCGCGCGGAGAAAAAGAGAGAAGAAGGCAGAUGGCGUCCCGCGUUCUUCUUCCUUUUUCGCUUCUGUGCGUGUCCCACAUAGAUAUGACGCUACGAACGCAGCUCGCACGCCUUGCGGGGCGGUCGGCACUAGUGCACGACCCCCUCCCCUCCCCGAGCCCUGCACUGGUGUGUAGUUCACUGUGUGUUCGCCUUGUCACACUAGUGCUGGAAGAUGGCCCGGACCUAUCGUGUGCUCUCGAGUCGUCCUAUGUUGGUAUGCGUGUGUGCGCGCGUAGAAACGUUUAUGUCUUCUUUUUGUUUUCCCUGCGACGGGGUGUCCUGUGCACCGAAGCGCAGUGAGGCAACCAUGAUCCGACGAACAACAGCACACAAAAGGGAGCCAUGAGACGUCGGCGUUGGCGGUACCGCUUGCGUGUGCAUGCGUGCACAUGGAUGGCAGAGCUCACCUUCUCCGGGCGGUUAUGUUGUUGUUCGUGUUGCACGCUCUUCGAUUUCUAACGGGGCUGCAUGCUCUUGAAGGCAUACAAAGGAGAGAGAAGCAAAAAAGAAGAACGUUCUGUGGUGAAGGGUUGUCAGUGAUGUGAUCCAGCGCAACGUAUGUGGCGGAAGGAAACGAAGGCGUCUCGUGCGUGUGUGUGUGUGCGCGCGCGCGAUCAUCGUCAGCGAUAUGCUCUUGGCAAUGUUGUUGAUGUUGGCGUAUUCGAUGACAGUGUCGGUGUCUGUAAUCGACUUUGGCCUGUUUGGUUUGAAGAUCUGCUGACGCGUGCAUGAAAGAAUAUAUAGCGCACAUGUUUGUGUCCUGGAGAGGAGUUGCGCGAUUCUGGACACUUCUCUCUUUAGGUGAUGUGUCUUUUUUUCUUGUACCUCGCGCUGCUACCCUGAUGACGGGGGGGGGGGGGGGGCACACUUCUGUGCGUCGUACUGCCGCACGGCCAAUUGCACCCCCACUCCCUCGGAAAGCCUUGCAGCUCCCGCCCCCCCCCCGCUAUGUCCCUGUAAAACGUCGAACCUCACUUCCAGUCAUAGCAGGGACAAGUGCCUACGGCAUAGGGAACUCAGAGCGAUGCAUCGCUGUCGAUGGCGGCGGUUAGGUCCUGGGCGACGUGGCGUCGGAGUGACUUGCGACAGUGAACACGUUUGUACCAGCCCAUAUGGCAAGCGAAGUGUCAGCGUGACUCAAGUGUACCCCACACCCGGCUCUCGCACUGCCCACUGGUGCGGGGAAGCAUGAGUCCCCCCGCGAGAGGGAGAUGCUCCAGGGGUGGCGACCAGCAUGAUGAGGGAACGGCUGCGAGGCGACCUGCGGGGUGAGGAACGGGCGGGUAGGGCUGGAGGGCGGGGGCCGCGCCCCAUAUGGCCGAGCCGGCGCAGCUGGUGUGAUGCGUGCGUGUCUUUGGCAUGCUUCGCACCACACCGGUGGGGGCCUGAGGCAGGGCAGGGGUAGCGUGGGGUUGAGCUCGUGUUGUGUAUGGCAGAGAAUGCCAAAACCUUGAAGAAACAAGAACUCUCGCUGUUGAUAAUAAAUCUUCUCAUUUUUUUUUGCUGCGCAUGUCGUGUAUGAAGGAUGUGUCGCGGAGGCCGCGCACGCCGCGUCAGCGGCUUCUGCGUUUUUGGUGUGUAGGCAUGUCUGUCUCGGUGAUGGUGUAGCAUGGCGUGUUUGGUGCGUGUGCGUCGCUGGACAUACUAUUCUUUGUAGGAAUUAGUAGGAGAUAAAUAUACGCUUCGUGUGUAUGAAUGCAUGUCUUUCGUUUUAUUUUGUUUGCCAUGAUUUUCUAUUCGUUCGAAGUGG